Molecule: transfer RNA, 72 nt
Organism: Ovis aries (sheep)
Lineage: Eukaryota; Metazoa; Chordata; Mammalia; Artiodactyla; Bovidae
Rfam family: tRNA
About the family: Transfer RNA (tRNA) molecules are approximately 80 nucleotides in length. Their secondary structure includes four short double-helical elements and three loops (D, anti-codon, and T loops).
Source: Rfam
UCCCUGGUGGCUCAGACGGUAAAGCGUCUGCCUUCAAUGCAGGAGACCUGGGUUCGAUUCCUGUGUCGGGAA